Molecule: non-coding RNA, 2667 nt
Organism: Triticum urartu
Lineage: Eukaryota; Viridiplantae; Streptophyta; Magnoliopsida; Poales; Poaceae
Source: RefSeq, a predicted model, not a curated record
CCUACGCCCGUUCACCGCCGACAAGGUGAGCCGUGGAUCAGAAUCAGCGGGCCCGUCUGAUCCGUCGGGAAGUUCGCUUUCCGUUCGGCGGGUUGGGUACUGGCGGAAAUUGAAUGCAGGGUCCAGUAUCUUCUCUGCCUAGAGCGGUGCUCAUUUGGAAGCUCGGGCCUGCAGCGUAGAGAAGAGGAGCGGUGGCGGCGAGGCACCAUGGAUUUCCUGAUGCAGCCAAUCGACGGAUCCACUCUCCUUGCAGAAGUAGGCGAGAGCUUGGUGCCGGUCCCUGUGCCGCAAGCGCCGUCGGGAGGCGCUAUGGUGGAGGAGUAGGAGGUGGCGGAGCAGCAACGGGCGGUGGACAGCGCAGACGCUCAGAUUUUCGCGGCCAAGGAGGCGGCGGCGGAUAGGAGGGAGAGCUCGCCUCCGACGUCGGAGCUGUCAGUUGGGAAGAUGAAUCCGCGGGUGGUGACUGCGUGGAACAAGAGGCUGAGGAUAGGCAGGUGCUGCCGCACCGAGCAGACCACCCUGCCCAACUCGCGGUAAAGUUGGUGUUAAGAACACAAGGUCUUGCCGUUGCAAAUGUCAGACGCUGGGUGGUACAUCACAGAGCAUUGGGAGAGCCACAACCAUUCCCUUUCACCAAACUUUGGCGAGAUGGUGCAUUGGCCAUGGCACAAGCAUAUAUAUCUGAUAAAGCAGUUGCGGCAAAACAAUGCCAACCUUGCGAAGUUGUAUGGUAUCAUAGGGAACUUCUUUGGAUCAAUGGAGAAUGUGCCAUUCACCAAAAGGUCUUUGCGCAAUCUCCGUGGGAAGAUAAAUACGGAGCAGGUCGAUGAUGAUGGAGGUGUUUGCUGAAAUUGGGGCCAAGGAUCCGCAUUUCACAUACAAAAUUCAGGCUGACAAUGAGGGCGGGAUUAACAACCUGAUGUGGGCAAGUGGAAACAGCAGGCUGCAGUACACAUUUUUCAGGGAUGUGAUAACAUUUGACACCAUGUACUGGACUAAUUUGUACGAAAUGUUGUUCAGCCUAUUGUUGGUGUUAAUAGUCAUUUCCAGAGUACCAUCCUGGCAGAGGUGCUUGUUUGUGAUGAGACAACUGAGAGUUCUGAAUGUUUUCUCAGAAUUUCUUAGAGUGAUGGGCGGCGCUCCUCUGAUGACUAUACUUACUGGUAAGUUCUUGCUUUCCUGGUGUGCUUUGCAGACCCUAUUCAGGCUAUGGAGCUGGCUAUCAAAGAGCAUUAUGCCAGACACCACAUGCUGGCGGUGCAAGUAUCACAUGCUCAAGAACGCAAAGUAAACGUUGGGCCCUCUGUACACCAAGAAGAGUGAAUUCAAGCAGAGUCCCAUGAGGUGGUGAACUACAUGCUCACGGUAGAUGGGUUUGAGAAUGGGUGGGUGAUGCUGCUGGAUGAAUACAAGCUAUGGAGACGCCCGUACAUGACUCAACUUCUCGAGAUCAGAAAGAAAUGGACAAAGCCGUAUUUCGAAGGUGUUUUAUGUGCAACGAUGAGCGCAUAAAGGAGUGAUGGUGUCUAAUGGAUAUGUUUGUGCAGAAGUAUAUGAUGCUUCUGUUCGACAGACUCGGGCGAGAACUAUUGAGGAGAAGAGAACAAGAAUUUGUUAUUUCAGUUUGGAAAAUUUGGUUACAACUGGUUCCUGAUUUAGGGGAGAUCUUUGAUGAGGGUGCUUCGACAGGUGGAGUUGUUGGGAGAAAUGUGGCUGCCGGAAACAGUAAUCGUCGCUGGCAGGCAAAAAUUGUAGGACGGAGGUAUGUUGGUGGUGCCUCCGAGACAGGGAACAUGGGUUCUACUAAAGCGGUCUUGGAGACGGUAGGGGAAUAAGAAGUCAGAAAGAGGCAACAAAAGGCGGAGGAGAGUGAGGUUCUCGAACAUUGUUGAAACGAUUUGUCGAUCGGAAACCUCAGAAACCGAAGACACUUCAAGUGAUAAUCACAGCAUGGCAAGUGAGGAUGAUGACCUUCGUGCGCGUCGUGCAGGAAGUGACAAGGAGCAAGGUUAUAAACUUAUAAUACAGUGGUGGCACUGGAAAGGGUGGCGACAGAGUCCAAAAGGGUGGAGGUGUUGCUGCUGCACUUGGUUCUGGAAUUGGCAUGGAAGGAGGGGCAGCUGAUGCUGGAACUAAUUCUUGUGGGAGGAUCCAGCGUCAUGACUGUGAGCUUGGAUACACAUUCAGGGGUUCUUUAGGUUAGUGGAAUUGUUGAAUGUUUGAGAGUAGUAUAUAGUGCCUAUCAGGGCGGAUGUACGGAUAACUUGUGUCGACCACAAUGUCAGAGGUUGGAGGUAGCUCAAGCCAAGGAGGAUGUGGUGGCAAUGCAAAUGUUGAAGGUGCAUAAAAUUUCCGGAAUGAAUAAUUCGGGAGGGAAAGGGUUGCCAUAAAAUUUUCAUUGCCAAGACAGUGUUGCAUGUAAGCUGCCGUGGCAAAACUUUUGGAUUGCUGCUGCAGUGAUUGAGCGACACUGCCAUGGCCGAGUUUUUGCCGACGUAGUCGAUGCUCAAACAGUAGACAUGUGCGGGAUGGACAUGAAACAAAAUUGCCACAUCAAGGGGGUGUUUUUUGAUUGACCUGCAGAUUAUUGCUUAAAAUUAUUACAUGGAAAAUACAUUCUGUAUAUUGGAGAUUGUGGGUGGUGCUGCUUAAUUACUUGUUACUUAA